GCGGGUGUGUUGAAAUUGGUAGACAAGCCAGACUUAGGAUCUGGUGCUUCCAGCGUAUGGGUUCGAGUCCCUUCACCCGCA
Molecule: transfer RNA, 81 nt
Filed under: Bacteroidales bacterium
Lineage: Bacteria; Pseudomonadati; Bacteroidota; Bacteroidia; Bacteroidales
Description: tRNA-Leu
Rfam family: tRNA
About the family: Transfer RNA (tRNA) molecules are approximately 80 nucleotides in length. Their secondary structure includes four short double-helical elements and three loops (D, anti-codon, and T loops).
Source: RNAcentral